CUACGGAACCAAAAAUUGGUUCCCGGAGCCCUUUUUUGUUGCCCCGCGAGGCUCCGCUCGCGCGCGCGAACCCGCGAAGCUUCUCUCCUCUCUAGCGUCCGUUCCCAGUCUUUCGUCCGCAGCAGUCAUUCCUAGGCAGCUUCCAGCAGUGCCUUGUGAGCGUGGAUGUAGUCUCCCUAGAAGUUCCUAAAAAGGAAAAUGCCGUAGAAUUUGUCAAACAUUUUUCUUCGUACUUUCCACUUACAGAAUGGAACAAUAUCAUCACUGCUGGCACUUCAAUCGAUAUCUUAGCCGAGUUUCAUGGGAGAAUAAGGAAGCUGCAGAAUCAUUAGCUUGUUUGUGAGGAUGUUAAUAUUAACGGUAUCCAGUAGUUUUGGUGUUCAACAAGGUAGAAGGUUGCACUUUGGGUUGCAGGAAUCCAACGAUUUCCUCUCACAUUUCAUGGACUGAACUCUCUUUUGAAGAUGGAGAGACGAAAGGUGACACUUAUAGUGCGCCAUCUCCCAGAAGCUAUACCCCAGGAGACACUCUUCCGCCUCUUCUCUCACUAUGGUGCUUGCGGGCUGCGGCCUUGUGCUGGUGGGAAGUUGAGGAACAGUGCGUUUGUAGAUUUCAAUGAUGAAGUUUCAGCUUUACAGGCACAACAACAACUAAACAGAUUGAGGUUUCUUGGAAAAGUUUUAUCUGUGGAACGAGUGAACACACUGACUUCGAAUGAGAAGGAAAUGGCUGAAAAACAGCACAGAAAAGAUGCAUUUUCACCUACAUCUACAUCAAAGGAGCUUACUGUGCCUGGGAUUGUUUCUGUUCCUGGGUCCACCCCAAAUGCUGUGAAAAUCGGUGAACCAAUUGCUCCUAGACUUGGUGUAGACUAUCCAUUUCCUCCACACCUCGAGUAUGCUUACCCGCCUCCAGAUGGAAAUAUACUAACCAAUAUUGUUAAUGCUCUUAUAGCUGUCCCACGAUUCUAUACACAGGUUCUGCAUUUGAUGAACAAAAUGAAUCUUCCAGCACCAUUUCGUGCAGCUUUACCCACACCACCUUUUCCACCCUCGGAACCUGCUCCUCCACCACCACCCCCACCCCCACCUGCUGUGGCAGGAAAACCUCCUUUAGCUGAUCUAUCCAGUGAUGAGUCAGAGCUGGAGUCUUCAGAUGAGAGUGACAUUGAUCAGAAAAAAUCCGGUGCUGUAUUUCCUGGGAAGCGUCGGAAUAGGAAAAAAGCUAAACAUGAGGCUAUCAUUGGUCCUGCUGUUGAUAAGGAUGUAUCACAUGAGGCUGCUGGUGUGAAGCCUGUCACCUUAGUUCCAAAAGAGCUUCCAACCAUUAAAAAGAAAAAUCCUGUUCUGCAGAUAAAGAUUGCUCCCAAGCCUGUAAAAAGUGAAAAAGGAGAAGCUAAUGAUGGUUCAGGAACUUUAGAUCACGACAAAGAGGAAGUUGAAGUUAAACAUUUUGCAAGUCUUCAAGAAAUUGAAACUGGAAAAUUACCUCCCGAGGAAAUAUUAUCACUUCCAAUGUUCAAGAAUUAUACUCCUGGUGAUCCUUCUCCUGUAUUAUACAUAAAGAACUUGGCAAAGGAUGUAGUUGCUGAUGAUUUCUACUACAUUUUCGGAUCAUUUUUUGGUAGUGUUGAAGCCGUCAAAUCUGGAAUCAGCAUCAAGCUGAUGCAGGAGGGGAGAAUGAGGGGUCAGGCUUUUGUGACAUUUCCUUCAAUAGACCUUGCACAGCAAGCGUUGGUGGCAGAAUCACGUUGUUGUUCACGAAGACGUCGUCACCGAACCCCGCCUUCAAGAUUUGGGCAUGGAGCUGCGAGCCCUCGGAUGCAGCGAAAAUGAAGGCACGUGCCUUGAGGGCGAAAGGAAAUGAGAAGUUGUCAAAGCAGCAGCCGUCUCGCAACAUUUGCAUUAUUGAGGAUAAACGAGUUUAAACGAGCCGCCCGAGUCGAGCUCGAGCUCGAAGGCAGUCGCUCGAGUCGAGUUCGAGUUGAAGUUGUGAAGCUUGUGUUGAGCUCGAGCUGACUAAACAUGAGUGGAGCCGAGCUCGAGCUUGAGUCGACUCGUGUGCAGCCCUACAUAUGCAAAUAAAGCAGUGCAUGGAUUUCUUUUCAAAGGUAAGCCUAUCAUAAUUCAGUUUGGCCGUAAUACAUCACAAACCAAAGCACAGUAAUUUGGAGGAAGAGAUGGCAUCAUCAGGUACACUUGAACAAGCGCGUCUGCUCUCAUGUGAUGCCUUGCUCCUCGAGGCAUGGGCAUCAUAUAGGCGCACACAGGCAUGUAAAAAGUUAACUGUCGUAAAAAACUCGGUGGAUGCUUGCAAUAUCUUAGAUUCUUCUCUAGUUAAAUGCAUUCAACCAUUUCAUA
RNA transcript from Nymphaea colorata (pocket water lily), 2360 nucleotides. It is a transcript of the gene named U11/U12 small nuclear ribonucleoprotein 65 kDa protein, with no coding region annotated. The record is from RefSeq and is a predicted model, not a curated record. Lineage: Eukaryota; Viridiplantae; Streptophyta; Magnoliopsida; Nymphaeales; Nymphaeaceae. The transcript is spliced from 15 exons.